CCUACGGGCGGCUGCAGUGGGGAAUAUUGCACAAUGGGCGCAAGCCUGAUGCAGCCAUGCCGCGUGUGUGAAGAAGGCCUUCGGGUUGUAAAGCACUUUCAGCGGGGAGGAAGGCGUUAAGGUUAAUAACCUUGUCGAUUGACGUUACCCGCAGAAGAAGCACCGGCUAACUCCGUGCCAGCAGCCGCGGUAAUACGGAGGGUGCAAGCGUUAAUCGGAAUUACUGGGCGUAAAGCGCACGCAGGCGGUCUGUCAAGUCGGAUGUGAAAUCCCCGGGCUCAACCUGGGAACUGCAUUCGAAACUGGCAGGCUAGAGUCUUGUAGAGGGGGGUAGAAUUCCAGGUGUAGCGGUGAAAUGCGUAGAGAUCUGGAGGAAUACCGGUGGCGGAGGCGGCCCCCUGGACAAAGACUGACGCUCAGGUGCGAAAGCGUGGGGAGCAAACAGGAUUAGAUACCCGUGUAGUC
RNAcentral lists this ribosomal RNA (465 nucleotides) under uncultured Klebsiella sp. RNAcentral describes it as "bacterial SSU rRNA". It matches the Rfam family "Bacterial small subunit ribosomal RNA", at positions 338 to 795 of the family's 1533-position model. Lineage: Bacteria; Pseudomonadati; Pseudomonadota; Gammaproteobacteria; Enterobacterales; Enterobacteriaceae. The record is from RNAcentral.